Molecule: long non-coding RNA, 1272 nt
Organism: Amphiprion ocellaris (clown anemonefish)
Lineage: Eukaryota; Metazoa; Chordata; Actinopteri; Pomacentridae
Source: Ensembl
GGGAUAUUUACGAUGACGACAACCUUCGUCUCCGUUGGCAAAGAGACACCGAGACUACACGUUAAAAAAUAAAACAAGACAUUAGAAGACCUCAUCUUAGACUCUGGGAAACUGGGACGGACGUCUCCACUGCUGUCUUGCAUUUAGGAGACUGACUGGCCUUCUGUCAGCAGAGACUUCAGCUGGGGCGGCUGGGAACAAACAGUCCACAGCGAAAGGAUGUCACAGGGAAACCUCCUCUGGCCCAUCAACACCUCGUCUUGUAGAGGUGGACAGGUGAAUUGAUCAUCACUGGGGUGAGGAGUGGAGGCUGGACUGUCCAUUGUAUGGCAGGUUGAAGUGCGUUGCGUAACGGAUGAAGAGCAGACCGAUCAGUUCCAUCAGUCCCAUCAUGCUCCUCUCUCUUCCUCUGGGGAUUGUCUGCUCUCCAGGGCCUCAGUACAGCUAUAAAACCGGUCCAGCAGUAGAAGAGUGGGAUUUUCAUCAUCACAGCGACUUGGGGGCCAUCAAAGUGCCUGUGAUCUCACAUCUCAUGCAUUUGCAUCCCGCGUGAGAAUUUAUCACUCCUUUCUGUUGGAGCUGCAGGAGCAGAAAAUCUUCUCUCCCCGUGAGUCCAAGUGAAUGAGAAUGGAGUGUUUUUGUCAUUAGAGGAGAUUGAAAACAUAGUAAACAACCACAGACCACUGGCUCAUGAGUCUCUCUGGCAGUUUAAGGAUUUCCCUCUACACCAGGAAUGCUGCUUCAAGCGACGGUUUUGUUUUAUUGGCUUGUCAUCAGCUGUCUUUUAGAUUCUCCUCACAUGCAGCUCCUGAGGACACACAGAGUGUUUCACUUAAGACUCGAUGCAGCAGUUUCUGCGCUGAUUGGGGUCAUCGCAUCCAAACCUUAGUCUGCAUCCAAUGUGUGCUGAGUUUCAGAGCGUGACUGUGAACUAAUCCUGCUUUGCUCUGCUCACCUGCAACCUCACUUACAUCUUUGCAGUUGUGGCCGUAGUUUCUGCUACAGCAGCGUCUUUAGUUUGUAUGACUGCUGAAUUCUUUUUUGGCUCAUUUUUAAAAAAAUCUUUGCUAUUUUUUGCCAGUUGUUCUUUGUAUAGUAUAAUGGCCAGUCUCUGGUAACAGAAAUGUAUCAUCUCCUUAACAAACUGUUUUUUAUCCAUCUUCUACAUCCAGAGUUUGAGAUCUGGUCUUCUAGUCCUGUAGAGUAAAAGUCAAAGAUUUGAAAACUCUAUUGUAUCUUCUCUCAACUGAACUUGUAUUUUUUAAAAAAAGU